Non-coding RNA from Triticum aestivum (bread wheat), 125 nucleotides. The record is from Rfam. Lineage: Eukaryota; Viridiplantae; Streptophyta; Magnoliopsida; Poales; Poaceae.
UUCAUAUUCCCUCCGUUUGGAAAUACUUGUCAUUGAAAUGGAUGUAUCUAGAUGUAUUUUAGUUCUAGAUACAUCCAUUUUCAUCCAUUUUGAUGACAAGUAAUUCCGGACGGAGGGAGUACUUA